UGUGCAUUGGCUCUCUCUACCACAAUGGAAGUGAUGGGCAUCAGUCAAAUUGCUGGGUUUCCUAUGUAGCGAUAUACUAGCAGCUCAUUACUGGAUGCAGACAUUGUGGAACUAUCCAAUUGUAAUCUUCAAAGAUAUCAUAUUCAUAAUCAAUACUAGUCUUGAGAUGCUUCUUCACUCAUCUACUCCAGGUCUUCAUUAAAAACUCAAAUAAGAAUGAUAUUAUCUUGGACUUAGAAGAAGAGAUUAAGCAGGGUAUACAUAACAACAACAACAUAUUGCCUUCCUCAAACAAGUACACUUGUAUAAAAUAAUGAAUAUAUCACUCUUCUACUAUACUAUUUUAAAAGCAAGAACUUUGGAGAAGACAUAUUAGAAGACAACAUAUAUUACUUUCAAAGAAAAGAUUAUUGCUUAUGGAAGUGGACAAGAUCUUAGGAGAAAUGAAGGUGACCAUCUAUUACCUGGACUCUUGCCUGUCCUUGAUGAUUAAACAAGCCACAGAGGGACUGGCAGAAUGGGCAAAUGUGCUAGUGAACACCUCUUUGGCAUAAGGCUUAAUGCCAAUUAAUCUUAAAGAGGCUGCAGUAAAACCUGUAUUAAAUAAACUGACAUUGGAUCCCA
Long non-coding RNA from Anolis carolinensis (green anole), 624 nucleotides. RefSeq lists it as uncharacterized. NCBI's taxonomy places the organism in Eukaryota, Metazoa, Chordata, Lepidosauria, Squamata, Anolidae. The transcript is spliced from 5 exons. The record is from RefSeq and is a predicted model, not a curated record.